UCAAUUUGUUAAGGUGAGUGCGUGACCAUGAGCUUAUCUGAGUGAUUGGGUUGUGUGAUUUGUUUUGUGUGAUGAUAUGUAGGUGUCGUGAAUAUGUUUUGGGUGAAUUGUUCAAUGACUGGUUUGUUUGUAUUGUAUUUGUGAUUAUACCCUUUUAUUUGCUUGUGUGUAUAGCUCGUAGAUGGGAGGAUCGCCUCACUAAGUAUUUAUGAUAAUACUUACGCAUCUCAUUGUGUUAUUGAUGCAGGUAAAGAUAAAGUGUGAUCGUGGAAUCAUGGCAAGGAAGAGAGGAUGAUCUAAAAACUCGUUUGUUUUAUUUUUGUGUUUUUGGUUAUUGGAACCCGGUUAGGAUUUGUUAGUUAUUCUUAGUUUUGUUGGUCGAAUUAUUUAUUUAUUCAUAUAAUAGUAUUUUUGACUUGCGGUUUAAUUGUUAUUUUAUUGGUUGGUUUAAUUAGAUAUGUAUGGGUAUAUUU
RNAcentral lists this small RNA (473 nucleotides) under Arabidopsis thaliana (thale cress). Its description in RNAcentral is "ATSL273680". Lineage: Eukaryota; Viridiplantae; Streptophyta; Magnoliopsida; Brassicales; Brassicaceae. The record is from RNAcentral.